UACGAAGGGGGCUAGCGUUGCUCGGAAUUACUGGGCGUAAAGGGCGCGUAGGCGGACAUUUUAAGUUAGAGGUGAAAGCCCAGGGCUCAACCCUGGAAUAGCCUUUAAUACUGGAUGUCUUGAGUUCGGGAGAGGUGAGUGGGAAUGCCGAGUGUAGAGGUGAAAUUCGUAGAUAUUCGGCGGAACACCAGUGGCGAAGGCGGCGACCUGGGUAGAUACUGACGCUGAGGUGCGAAAGCGUGGGGAGCAAACAGG
This 255-nucleotide ribosomal RNA is filed under the name uncultured bacterium. Its description in RNAcentral is "partial 16S ribosomal RNA". It matches the Rfam family "Bacterial small subunit ribosomal RNA", at positions 524 to 776 of the family's 1533-position model. The record is from RNAcentral.